AACUGCUGGACAAGGAGUGUUCUGUUGAGCUCAUUUUCACACGAUGAACAACUGGCUUAGAACUGAUUCGGGCAAGGGGAAUCCGACUGUUUAAUUGAAACAAAGCAUUGCGAGGGCCUCAAAGGGUGGUGCCACAAUGUGAUUUCUGCCCAGUGCUCUGAAUGUCAAAGUGAGGAAAUUCAACUAAGCGCGGGUAAACGGCGGGAGUAACUAUGACUCUCUUAAGGUAGCCAAAUGCCUCGUCAUCCAAUUAGUGACGCGCAUGAAUGGAUUAAUGAGAUUCCCACUGUCCCCAUCUACUGUCCAGCGAAACCACAGCCAAGGGAACGGGCUUGGGUAAAUCAGCGGGGAAAGAAGACCCUGUUGAGCUUGACUCUAAUCUGACUUUGUGAAAUGACUUAGGAGGUGUAGGAUAUGUGGGAGCUCUGGUGAUCUUGAAAUACCACUACUCUUAAUGUCACUUUACUUACUCUAUCAGACUGUGGCCUGCUUCCCAGCAGGUUUUUGUUUCAAGGCAUCUCAUCUGACUUGUUGACUUGCGUAGAGGACAUAAUCAGGUGGGCAGUUUGGCUGGGGCGGCACAUCUGUUAAAGGAUAACGCAGGUGUCCCAAGGUAAGCUCAAGGAGAACAGAAAUCUCAUGUGGAUCAGAAGGGGAAAUGCUUGCUUGAUUUUGCUUUUCAGUGUGAAGACAAACUGUGCAAACAUGGCCUAUCGAUCCUUUGG
Molecule: ribosomal RNA, 725 nt
Filed under: Gambierdiscus australes
Lineage: Eukaryota; Dinophyceae; Gonyaulacales; Pyrocystaceae
Description: LSU rRNA
Rfam family: Eukaryotic large subunit ribosomal RNA
Source: RNAcentral